GAUGAACGCUGGCGGCGUGCCUAAUACAUGCAAGUCGAGCGAACAGACGAGGAGCUUGCUCCUCUGACGUUAGCGGCGGACGGGUGAGUAACACGUGGAUAACCUACCUAUAAGACUGGGAUAACUUCGGGAAACCGGAGCUAAUACCGGAUAAUAUAUUGAACCGCAUGGUUCAAUAGUGAAAGACGGUUUUGCUGUCACUUAUAGAUGGAUCCGCGCCGCAUUAGCUAGUUGGUAAGGUAACGGCUUACCAAGGCAACGAUGCGUAGCCGACCUGAGAGGGUGAUCGGCCACGCUGGAACUGAGACACGGUCCAGACUCCUACGGGAGGCAGCAGUAGGGAAUCUACCGCAAUGGGCGAAGGCCUGACAGAGCAACGCCGAGUGAGUGAUGAAGGUGUUCGGAUCGUAAAACUCUGUUAUUAGGGAAGAACAAAUGUGUAAGUAACUAUGCACGUCUUGACGGUACCUAAUCAGAAAGCCACGGCUAACUACGUG
This 497-nucleotide ribosomal RNA is filed under the name uncultured bacterium. RNAcentral describes it as "partial 16S ribosomal RNA". It matches the Rfam family "Bacterial small subunit ribosomal RNA", at positions 28 to 507 of the family's 1533-position model. The record is from RNAcentral.